RNAcentral lists this long non-coding RNA (306 nucleotides) under Vulpes vulpes (red fox). RNAcentral describes it as "lncRNA (ENSVVUG00000000884.1)". Lineage: Eukaryota; Metazoa; Chordata; Mammalia; Carnivora; Canidae. The record is from RNAcentral.
GGAACUCACCAGUUGUUUAAUUAAGGGAUUGGAAAAAAUAACCCACCCCUCAGGAUCUGCUUCAAAAUUUCGGCAGAAGCAACGCCAGAGCAGGAGACACGGUUUGGCACCCCAUGGCUGGGCCGGGGGCCUCUGUGAAUGGCCAGCCAUGGGCAGAGGCAUUCUGCAAGCUGUUUCUACAUUUCCGGAUAACAAAGUUGAUUCACUCUACAGCUCCUAAUUAGCUGGCUUGGUUAGGAUCGUUUUUUUUUCUUUUUUCUUCCCUGAUCUCAUCAAUACACCAUUCAGUUGGAGCCACCAAAGAAC